RNAcentral lists this unclassified non-coding RNA (587 nucleotides) under Hevea brasiliensis (rubber tree). Lineage: Eukaryota; Viridiplantae; Streptophyta; Magnoliopsida; Malpighiales; Euphorbiaceae. The record is from RNAcentral.
CAAUGAGUAAAUAAUUUUUUUUAUUUUGGUGGAACUAAGAAACUUGCCGACCCCAAUUAAUUUGGGAUUAAGACUUAAUUUUUGUUGUUAUGGAACUAAGAAACUUGUCAUGGUGGACAGAAUAUAAGAUGACUGGAGCCACAAACUAAGUAAAACUUAUGACAAAAUAUUGUCAAACUAAAACUCAGUAUCAACAUAGACUAGCUAUGCCAAUGUGUAGAAGCACAAAUCAAGGCUUAGUUUUAAAUUUCUCUAAUUAUCACCCUUUUUAUCUUCUCAAAAUGAUGCAUCAAAUCUAGGAUAUUUAAUGCAGUCCAAGAAGACUUAGUUUAGAAUUUAAAAAAAAAAAAAUUAGUGUAGCAAUUAUGUUAAUUUAAUGGUUCAUUGUAAAAUUAGGAAUUUUAUAUUAUUAUUACCUAGGAAAUUUAAUUAGGAAGUAGUGUUUUAAUUAUUUAGGAAUUCUAUUAUUUAGAAUUUCCUAGUUAGAGUUGAUUUUGUAUUUGUAGUUAGAUUGCUUUAACAUUUUCUUACUUUGAGAUUCCAUAUUCUAACAAUAGUAGGAAUAGUUACUAUACUAUAAAUACCUA